CCAGAGAGGGCGUCCCUUCCAGGGACACUGCAUUUCGGAUUUGUGCUUUAUCCUCCUCCUAGACGGGCUGAGAGUCCACAGGUGCGGCAUUCACCUUGUCUCCUGAGGCCACAGGCAUGGCGGCCAGGAGAGGAGGAGGGGGCUUCCCGCCCCGCAUGGCCCCAGGCCGUCUCCAUGGCAACAACCUCCCAGGCCCAAGGGUUCCGCAGCCUCCGCCAAUCUGAGAUGAUUGACAGCAAUGCCAUCCAAUUACAACAUUUCCUCUCUCCUUGGGGACACCGAAAAGCAGACCACCCGGGCAUACUAAGGUCAAGAUGUCGUUGAUCGGUGUCUUUGUUUUAUUGUAUUACUUGUUUUAUUUACCUAUUUACUUUCUUGGUAAAACCAGCCUGCCGGCUUGCUCAGGACAUGAACUAUGACGUCCCUGGAGGUGGUCUCUUGGGAGAGGAGCCCCCCCAGGCCAGCGAAUCCCGCUCACCUGGGGAUUAACGAGCAGGCCCAGCCAUUUCCCAGGGCCACCGGUGCUCCCUGAUCUCAGUGUCUCCGUCUGUAAAAUGGGUAUAACCAGAGCCAGCCUGUGUGGCCCUGGGGAAAGCGGCACUGAGGGCAGACCAGGUGUCCAGCAGGGUCCUGCCCCGACUCCCACGCCCCCCUCGCCGGCCCCCUCGCCGCGGUCUUGCACUCUCCACUCCCCGUGCCUGCAAAGCCUCUGCCCCGUCCCUACACCAGGCUAAUCCUUUGCACCUCAGCUCAGAGGCCCCGUCUCCAAAGCCUUCCCUGAAACUUCCUCCUUGAGACACCCACCAUCCCCACCAAGCCUGCCACACCCAGGCCUGCUAUCGCCCGUGCAGUGUCGUCCUUCUGAUAAGCUGUGGAGGGGUAAGGGGCGCCCUGGUCUCUUGUUCAUAGCCUUAAACCUAGCGCCACUCAAGUGCCGGGCACACAGCAGGUGCUCAAUAAAUACUCCUUGCUGAUUGAACGGCAACCAGCUGCAAGAGUGAAUGCAUGGAUGCCGCUUGUGGGCCUGGGUUUGGAGAUCUUAGAAACAAAGCUUCGUUUUGCCACACUCAUGCCUUCUUCUAUCACACUCAUGCCUUCUUCUACCACAAUGUCACACCCUUACAUCUUGUAUCCCUAGGGAAAUGUGGCCAGGGGCGUUUUACCAAGUUGGUCUGGGAUGACGUGAGUUAACCCUCACACUCCACAGUCAGAGAGAUGGGUAACCCAGGUGACCCAGCGCUAAGUGACAAAUACGCUCUCGGAUAGAACAGCCCAGAAAGGGCAAGAGGGAGAGUUGCAACACUCAGAUAAUUACCCUUCAGCGACGCAGUGCACUUAAGUGGUGAAAGGAGAUUCACUGGUUGGAAAAACACUCCAGGGCGAAGGGCCAGCGUGUGCAAAAGCACCGAAGCAUGAGCGAGCGCGGGCAUUCCCGCCAGCCACCAGUGGGCCACGCGUCCCAACAUGUGAGUGCCGCAAGGAUACAAGUGCCUAAUGUGAACCUCCAAGUGGACGAUCAUUCAGUACUGACUUUGGGCCUGGCCCCCUUUCCUCAUGCAAGCCUUCCAGGCAGGAACUAAGAGUGAGCCAUCCUCUACAGAAGAGAAAAGCAAGACACAGCAAGCUGAGAAACUUACCAGGGUCACCCAGUUGGUUGGAGUCAGAGAUGUGUUACGGGCAGCAGCUCCUCUGCCCGCUUACGUCUGGGCUUUGGGGGCUGGCCCAGAGAUAGUCAUAAUGCAGCCCUUUAUUCAGCACUUGCUAUGGGCCAAGUCCUUCAUUCACAAGCUCAAGUCUUCCCAACCCAGAAAGAAAGAUGGUUAGUUCCAUUUCAUGUAGGAGGAAACUGUCGAGGCUCAGAAAAUUUAAGGAAUUUACCGGUCAUCAGUAAACGAGAGUAAAGGCCUAUGUGAACCCAAAUCUGCCCUCCUCUGAAACUCUCGCUGCAGACAUCGCACCCCACUGUUUUUCAAUUUCAUCUUCUUAUUUAUUCAUUCAACCAAUAUUUAUUUACCAAAGCACUAUGAGGCCCAGUUAAGAAUGUGUGGUCCUCGAUCUGACAGCCUGGAUUCAAAUCCCUGUUGCCCCACAACUCUCCACACUAGCUGUGUGGCCUUGCAAAUUUCACUCAACCUCUCAGGGACUCAGUUUCCUUGAUUGUCAAAUGGGAGUAAUGACAUUUCCUACCUCAUUGACUUGUUGGGAGGUAGCAUUGAGUUAUCCCAUGCCGUACCUGCUCCCUUGUAAACUCUGGAUAAUUACCGAGCUUUAUUAUAAGUGCAUCUCAUGGAUCACUCAAGGCACUGGGAAUAUAGCAAUCACAACAUAGAUUCUAGUCAUGGGAGAUGGUCACCUAACAAAUUAAAAACUAAGGCAUUUGUUAAAGGACUGAAUGACCAAGAUUAGAGUUCCAAGAAAAAGUAUGGUGCUCUGGGGUGGUCAGGAGAGCCUCUGUCACUGAGUAGCAGUGUGGCCCUGUCCAAGCUCCUGGCCUGGCUAGGCCUCAUGCCCAUGUCUGCAUGGCAAGUGCCUGGAACCGGAUGGUCAUGGCAGCUUUUGCUCUGUGAAAGCCCAACUGCUCCCCUGGACUGCUCCCAUGUUUUCUGUCUCCGCCGAGCAAGCCUCUUUCAAAGCCCUAGAGAGAGACCUGGGUCCCCAGCACCCUCUCCUGGAGGAGAUCUGGACUGGAAUGUUUGGGACGCCUCCCAUUCAAAUGCUCAAGUCUCCAAACCGCUCGGGAGGCGUUGCACAAGAGACAGGCGGGGGUUUCAGUUUCUGGCACUUGUUUGCUCAAAGGAUCUCAGCCUUCUUCUUCCUGACAUGCAGCUUAAACAUGUGAGCUGACCCUUAAAUGAAACCCCCACAGUUUUCCAUCUCCUUCCAAGAGAAUUUCACGGGGUGCAGGGAGAACGGGGAGGAGGUGAAACGUGGUGUAUCCUGCAGGAUUCACUCCCCCACUGACGGGACUAAAGGUUUCUGAAGCCUGAAAUAUUUUCAACUAAAUGAGAAAAUCUUUGCUGUUGAAUGGCCUAUUAGAGCUGUCACAAAUGUGAUUUCUGGAAAUAAACAAGAUUAUAAGAAGGCUGGCUGGUGCAGAAACAGCCCGAUGGAUACACCCUGGGAGAGGCGACGGGGUGGCCCCUGUGACUUCGGGCUGCGACGCGGUGUCGUCCCCACCCCCACCCCCCUCACUCUAGAAGUAACAACGCCAUCUACUGGACAGCGGACAAACCUCCCCACCCAGGGACGGGCUUCUCUGUUUAAGGCCAUCCAAACUAGAAAGUUUAAAAAUGCGUUUAAGAGGUAGAAUACCAUAGUUUACGGAACAGAAGAACAAGAACAAAACUCUCUAAUCAAAAUCACAGGGACCCGGCAAUAUUGGUCUAUAGCAAUUUGGUUUUUGGGGGUUUUUUUUGUUGUUGUUUCGGGGGCGGGGAGGGAGUUGGUUUUGGUUUUUUGUUUUUGUUUUUGUUUUUGUUUUGAGACGGUCUCACUCUGUCAUUCAGGCUGGAGUGCAGUAGUGCGAUCUCCACUCAAUGCAGUCUGGACCUUCUGGGCUCAAGCGACCCUCCUGCCUCAGCCUCCCGAGCAGCUGGGAACACAGGCGCACACCACCACGCCCGGCUAAUUUUUCAAUUUUUUAUAGAGACAGGGCAUUGCUAUGUUUCCCAGGCUGGUCUCAAACUCCUGAGCUCAAGCGAUCCUCCCGCCUCGGCCUCUCAAAGUGCUGGGAUUACAGGCAGGAGCCACCACGCCUGGCCUAUAGCAAUUUUGAAAACUGGCUCAAGCCCAUUCCUCUAUCCCCUGACAUAACCCCCCAAAGAGAAGACUUUUUAAAAAGGUAAGAAAACUGUUUUUUUUUUUUUUUUCAUUUUUAAGAGUUUUCUAUUAGCUAUAAAUUUCUGGAGUAAGAUUUGGUUCCACCUAGUCAGCUCCCACAUUUUUCUCCCCAUCAUCCUUGGGGCUAAGGUAUAGGAGAGCUGGGUAGAGACAUACACACACUCACACACACGCGCACACACACACGCACACACACGUGCGCGCGCGCACACACGCACAGACACACACGUGCGCACACACACGCACCCAGACACACGCGUGCGCACAUACACGCACACACAUGCACCCAGACACGCACACACGCGCACACAGACACGCACACGCGCACACACACACAGAAACACUCCUUGGGAUGGAGCUCUUUAAUCCUCCUGGACCCUGAACGCUUUGGUGAAAACAAGCGUACAAAACUAGGAUAACCCAAAUAUUAUUCUAAAUUCUUUUUUUCAGUCGCUUAAGCAAAACAACUUUCAUUUUUGAAGUUUAUGUAAUUUUUCCUUAUAAAUAUCAUCACAUUCCACGAUACAUCUGUCCGAUGUCGAUUUCUGGACUUUCUUACGCAAAUAACCAUCCUGCCUUCCUGCUCCUUUUCCCUCCUAACUGACCAUUAGAUUUGCCUUGAAAUUCCAUAUUAAUUGCUUUAUCCUGGAAAUGAAAGGCAGGGUAUUCUUUUCACAGAGAACUCCACAGUUUCAUAAUUGCCUACACUACUUGGACUAGUUUCGUGGAAAGGAAGGGACUCAACUGUGGCCUAGCACAUUAACAUAUGUUUUCUUUGCAGUCCUCUCAAUAAUUUGACAAGACGUGCAGAAGAUUUUAAAAAGGCAAUUUAUAUUAACAAAUAAAAAUUACAAUUAAAUUUACCGAGUAUUACAAUUCACCCAUUUUAAGAGAGAAAUUUUUUUAACUG
Long non-coding RNA from Pan troglodytes (chimpanzee), 4750 nucleotides. RefSeq lists it as uncharacterized. The transcript is spliced from 3 exons. NCBI's taxonomy places the organism in Eukaryota, Metazoa, Chordata, Mammalia, Primates, Hominidae. The record is from RefSeq and is a predicted model, not a curated record.